GUCUUUUAGAUAGCUCAGUUGGUAGAGCACGAGACUGAAUCUUAGGGUCAUGGGUUUGAGCCCCACGUUGGGCA
Podarcis lilfordi (Lilford's wall lizard) is the source of this 74-nucleotide non-coding RNA. NCBI's taxonomy places the organism in Eukaryota, Metazoa, Chordata, Lepidosauria, Squamata, Lacertidae. The record is from the annotation of a GenBank genome assembly.